Non-coding RNA from Drosophila suzukii, 1494 nucleotides. NCBI's taxonomy places the organism in Eukaryota, Metazoa, Arthropoda, Insecta, Diptera, Drosophilidae. The record is from RefSeq and is a predicted model, not a curated record.
AAACCAAUUCGCAGACCCUAAAACGCGUUUUUUUCAAAAAAUUUCUUUUAAUAUACAUUAAAUACCUCAAAGCGCACCGUAUAGGCGGGUGAGAGUAGGACCUUAAAAAUUUCCAUACAAAUGUGGAAAUGUACAUAUUGUAUGUGUUUCUUAUUAUAUGGUAUCGCUAUGUCUUUGUCCACAUAGGUGUCGUCGUAAACUAUUUCUCUAGUCACCAGGGAGAGAUUGUAACUACAUUCCCCAGCCUAGUGCCUUUAGAGAGUGGUAAUGCAUUUGCAUUUCUGAAGGUGUAAGAAAAACAGAAGCGUCUUUGCUGAGCUGAAUAGGGACGCACCGUCUAUAGUUUUUAUAAAACGCGUAUGCCACUCUGUGCAGUUGGCAGUAAAUCAAGCUUGUAAUGAGUUUCUUCCGGACGGAUUGGAGUUCCUAAUUUAUAAGACCUAUAAUUGGUUCUGUAAGAGUGCAAUUCGACAAUCUGAGUACAAGACUGUUUACCAAUCGAUAAACAAUGAAAAGAGUGUGUGUCUAUUGAAUUAGCUGUUUCACGAAUAUUGGAACAAUGGCAGAAGUUUUUUAACUUCUUCUUGCCGCAAAAAAAUAAAAAUGUCAUAAGGCCAAAUUACUGCAUUCCAUGUUUGACGACAAUGUAAACUACAUAAAUUUAGUUUUCCUAAAACCAAUCCUAAUGGAAAUGCAAAAAGUCAACAAGUGCUUUCAAAGCAAUAACACUGACGCGACGCGCUUGCUAAAAGAUCUUGUUCUGUCCAUUAAUUCGGUAAAGAAGCACAUUAUUCCACCAGAUUGUAAUAUGGACUUAAUAAAAGAUGAUAAUUUUGUGGAAUAUGUUGUCAAAGAUUUAUAUCAAGGAUAUACAUUUGAAAAGCAAAUUAAAAUGCUUUAAUGGAUAAUGAUUCGGAGAAAUCUUUUCGAGAGUGCUGCACUAAUUUUAUAGUUGAACCUGUAAAGCAACUAAAGCUGAGGAUACCUGACAACCUCCAGAUUCUGCAACCAAUUGAUAUAUUUACCGUUCAGAAUAUUUUAUGUUCAAAAAAAUUCAACAUUGUUCCCAUUUUGGAAAAGUUUUCUGUUGAAGAUAUCGACCGAAUACAGCGGAAGUAAAACUUUUUAAGGACUCUGGGGGUAACGAACGACCGAGAUGUUGUCCUUGCCAUGGUCCAACGCUGAUGUAGAACGUGCGUUUAGCCAAGUAAACAUUGUAAAAUCAAAACUGAGAAAUAGAAUGGACGUUACCACUCCUAACUUAAUAUUGUGCAUAAGAUAUGGUGUUCCUUAACGGUUGCAGUCUUCAAUAACCUCUCAUCAUUAGGCGCAUAAUGCCAUCUCUAUUCUUUGUAACAAAAAACCUAUAUACAUAUAUAUAUACCUUUUUUCGUUUCUGGCAACGCUGCUACGACGGCGUUUAUUUGUGAAAUUCAUAUCAGUAUCAAAUAGGCUUCGCAACUGGCAAGAAUAAAAUUACAUACAGUCCACACA